UCAAGAAUGGCCAAGAUUUGGUUCUAUUCCGUUGACUCCGUUGACUGUGAUGGUCCUCCAGCACUAGCUGGACCUUGAACAGAUCCCAUGACAUGCUGCCCCUGGGUCCUCACCCCUUCUUUAUCCUGCUGCCUGCCCAAAGGAGCAAACAGAGCUUCCCAGAGGCUCCUAGCGUUUGAAAGGCAACCCGUUAGGGAGGGGUGAGACUUGAGGCUGAGGUUUCAGAGAGAAAGCGGUUUCAGAAACCCAGAGAAGUGAUGAUGAAGGCAAUGAUAACAGAGAGAAAAGUCCAGUGGCUGAGUCAACAUUGUUCUAUGUUCUUGACUGCACAUGCCAGACAGAGCCAGACAGAGCCACACCGAGUGUGAGCGCCAAAGUUCCUCGUUUCAGCCCUCGACCAGUACCUUUGUUUUCCUGCUCACUCACCUGCUCCUCACCUGCUAUCUUCACCCUGGUUAAUCUUCUAUGCGCCUCUAUCUGUCUUCUGCAUUUGUCUGAGGUUUGGUUUCUUCAUUCAUUGAUUUCAGACUCAGUUUCAAAACUCGUUUACUGUGAUUCAGCAGAAGGGUAGAAGACUUUUCCUCUGACCCUUCAUUGCCUCCAAAAUGUGCCUUCUAGAUGACAAUUUCACCUAACUUACUUAGCCCAGAACAGACUUAGAAACUGGAGCAAACUUCUUUAUUCUGAGCUUGGGGAUAAAUUUAUUGCAUUUUUGGAUCCAAGGAGCAAUUUCUCCUUUCUUAUCGUACAUCUUAGAACAGUGGUUCUUCAAGUGUUGGCUCCUGAUGAACAGUAUCAGCAUUCCCCAGGAACUUACUAAGAAGUGUAAAU
RNAcentral lists this long non-coding RNA (831 nucleotides) under Capra hircus (goat). RNAcentral's name for it is "lncRNA (ENSCHIG00010016474.1)". Lineage: Eukaryota; Metazoa; Chordata; Mammalia; Artiodactyla; Bovidae. The record is from RNAcentral.